Small nuclear RNA from Mastomys coucha (southern multimammate mouse), 104 nucleotides. Lineage: Eukaryota; Metazoa; Chordata; Mammalia; Rodentia; Muridae. The record is from RefSeq and is a predicted model, not a curated record.
AUGCUUGCUUCGACAGCACAUAUAGUGAAAUUAGAACAAUGCAGAGAUUAAUGUGGCCCCUGCCCAGGGACAACAUACAAAUUCAUGAAUUAUUCCAUAUUUAC